GUCACGGACACAGCGCCAAACUCCAACUGUCGUCCACAAGGGUUAUGCAAUAUCCCGCCUUCGUCAGUUCUAUAUGCGGAAGGUGAGGUUCACCCAACAAAACUUUCAUGAGAAGCUCUCUAACAUCAUCGAAGAGUUCCCUCGAUUAGAUGACAUCCAUCCUUUUUAUGGUGAUCUCCUUCAUGUCCUUUACAAUAAGGACCACUACAAGCUUGCUCUUG
RNAcentral lists this unclassified non-coding RNA (221 nucleotides) under Hevea brasiliensis (rubber tree). The record is from RNAcentral. Lineage: Eukaryota; Viridiplantae; Streptophyta; Magnoliopsida; Malpighiales; Euphorbiaceae.